RNAcentral lists this ribosomal RNA (433 nucleotides) under uncultured bacterium. Its description in RNAcentral is "partial 16S ribosomal RNA". It matches the Rfam family "Bacterial small subunit ribosomal RNA", at positions 29 to 507 of the family's 1533-position model. The record is from RNAcentral.
AACGAACGCUGGCGGCAUGCCUAACACAUGCAAGUCGAACGAGACCUUCGGGUCUAGUGGCGCACGGGUGCGUAACGCGUGGGAAUCUGCCCUUCGGUUGGGAAUAACUGAGAGAAAUUUCAGCUAAUACCUUAUAAUGUCUUCGGACCAAAGAUUUAUCGCCGAGGGAUGAGCCCGCGUAGGAUUAGGUAGUUGGUGGGGUAAUGGCCUACCAAGCCGACGAUCCUUAGCUGGUCUGAGAGGAUGAUCAGCCACACUGGGACUGAGACACGGCCCAGACUCCUACGGGAGGCAGCAGUGGGGAAUAUUGGACAAUGGGCGAAAGCCUGAUCCAGCAAUGCCGCGUGAGUGAUGAAGGCCUUAGGGUUGUAAAGCUCUUUUACCCGGGAUGAUAAUGACAGUACCGGGAGAAUAAGCUCCGGCCAACUCCGUG